This 496-nucleotide ribosomal RNA is filed under the name uncultured bacterium. RNAcentral's name for it is "bacterial SSU rRNA". It matches the Rfam family "Bacterial small subunit ribosomal RNA", at positions 899 to 1397 of the family's 1533-position model. The record is from RNAcentral.
ACUCAAAGGAAUAGACGGGGACCCGCACAAGCAGCGGAGCAUGUGGUUUAAUUCGAAGCAACGCGAAGAACCUUACCAAGACUUGACAUCAAGUGCAAUCUGUUUAAAGACAGACCUCCUUUUCGGACACGAAGACAGGUGGUGCAUGGUUGUCGUCAGCUCGUGUCGUGAGAUGUUCGGUUAAGUCCGGCAACGAGCGCAACCCCUAUGAUCAGUUGCCAAUAUUAAGUUAGGAACUCUGGUCAGACUGCCGCGGAUAACGCGGAGGAAGGUGGGGAUGACGUCAAAUCAUCAUGCCCCUUACGUCUUGGGCCACACACGUGCUACAAUGGGCGCUACAAAGAGCAGCGAGACGGCAACGUUAAGCGAAUCUCAAAAAAGCGUUCUCAGUUCGGAUUGAGGGCUGCAACCCGCCCUCAUGAAGCAGGAGUUGCUAGUAAUCCCGAAUCAGAAUGUCGGGGUGAAUGCGUUCCCGGGUCUUGUACACACCGCCCGU